GUGGUGGCUCAGUGGUAGAGCGCUUGCCUAGCACAUGCGAGGCCCUGGGUUCAAUCCUCAGCACCACA
RNAcentral lists this transfer RNA (68 nucleotides) under Marmota monax (woodchuck). Its description in RNAcentral is "tRNA.Ala". The record is from RNAcentral. Lineage: Eukaryota; Metazoa; Chordata; Mammalia; Rodentia; Sciuridae.